Molecule: long non-coding RNA, 13193 nt
Organism: Tympanuchus pallidicinctus (lesser prairie-chicken)
Lineage: Eukaryota; Metazoa; Chordata; Aves; Galliformes; Phasianidae
Exons: 3
Source: RefSeq, a predicted model, not a curated record
CCCCGGGGGGAGCCGGGGGGGCCGGGGCGAGGGAGGGCGUAUAAUAAACAGCAUCGCUGUCACGCAGGCAGGGCUGCCGGCUCCCAAAGCCGCCUCCCCGCGAUAACAAUCCAGUAUUAGAACUAAAGGAAACUCAUCCCAUAGACGUCCAGGGACAGAGGUCUCUUUAUCUCUUGCAUAUCAGCUGCAGUGGAUAUGAGUUGCCAAGGCAAGAUUUCAAGGUAAGAACUCUGCUCAUCUUGGACCAGCUGAAAAUUCUUAAAUAUGCUUUGCAAACAGUCCACCAUCAAGCUGUAGUUAAUAUGCUGAGAAAGGAUGGAAGAAGCUGCAAAUUUCACUGCUGGUAAAUGAGAAAUCAAAUGCUCCACACGUUAACAGCAUGGAAAAUGACCUCAGCAGAAAUAAGAAAUGAGUUUCUUAGUGUGCAUAACUCCGUCAGCCACUGAUUACAGCACACAAAACAUGAGACCUGCACAGGGCCCGUUCCACUUUGUUUCCUGCAUUCUAUCUCCCUCUGAAUGGAACAUUAUCUACCUCUUCUACUCAGAAACGGGAAAGAGAAAAAUCUGCUUCCCAUCCUGCUGCCAGUUGCUAUAUUUCCUGGGCAGGGUGAUAUGUACAAGCAGGGGACAGGGAAUAAAGGCAAAGGCCCCGCAGGUCCAUGCAGAGAAGCGACACGGCCAGCUAUAUCGCCAUCAGUCACUGAGAUGAGUGGUGGCAGAGGGAUCUGUCCUGAAGUUGUGGCCAACCGGUGGAUUUUGCUUUCCCAGUGAUUCUCAGGGAACAGUAUUCUUAAGCUAUGGAGAAGCUUUAAGCCAGUCUUGAUUAUUCCCUGCUGUUCACAUGAGGAGUAAAAAAGCUAUGUAACUGGUUGAACAUUUACAUAGGGAAUAAAUUCCAUUGACUGAACAGAGUGUGGAUCAAUCCUUAAGAAAAAUGCACAUGGACAUAAAAGGCCUAAUUUCAAAAGCAUCCUCCAAAGUCAUGAUUAAAUUUUUAAACACACCUAAGUUUUGCUCGAAGUACUCCAUGAUCACGGUGAAAACACACCGUUAUUGGACAUUCGUACGCCGCCUUCUCUGCAGACCUUAUUCAUAUUGCAGUCUUACACUUGCUGCUUUGUGACAUGCUGCUUAUAUAAAUGCACAAAGAUCAUCAUAUUAUAUUGCCUCUGACAUUCUGUCUCUGAUCAUCUUAUAGCAUUUACUUUCUCCACUCAAACCCCUUCUAAGAUCAGACUAUAGACUUUACUAUAAGAUACUGAAAAAAACCCUCCUUUUUACUUGUGUGUCGGUAGCUGAUACAAUUUCCUUUCCUUCUGCAUCUCUUUUUUCUGCAUGUAAAAAUGUGUUAGUGAUGAUCAUGAUGAUCAGUAAUUUGCUUGUGUCCACAGUAAGCUAGUGCUUAUCUGUUAAAUAUUUUAUUAGGAAAUAGUUCUGAGUCACAACUGAGCCAUUCCCCUGUGCAACACGUCUGAGAGCACUGUCUGCAACCGCUGCACUCCUUCAGGUCAGCAGAAAGAUACCAUACUGUUGUAUGUCCAUCCCAACAUACACAGAAAGGCACUUACCAUGCCCAUUAGGAUAUUCUUAAUUACUGGAGAUAAGAAGCUCACCAGGGGAUCUCAAACCUUCUCCAUAAUAAGCUUAGAAGGGAGAAGGAUAUGUAUCAUAGCUGGAGCUGGUUAUAUACACCCUGUUUCAUGAAUCUGCUUAGGUUAUACACUGGGGCAAUCUCCUAAUCAUAUUAAAUUAGACCAUCUUCAAGGCGACUGCUUUACAUGUUGCAGAGGUGUGAAUAUAUAUCCCAGAGGCUGAAAAGGUUGGAGUACUUCAGUGAAAAUUACCUCCUGUGUGGUUGGGAGCCUUCUGUUGAUGGCUGGAAAGAUUUGUAUGGGACAGAAAUGUUAUUAGCAAGUAUGCAUUGCCUCCAUUCCUUGUUCUCUAUACUAUACUGUGGCUAAAGCUAGGGCAGAUAAUAGAUGCCUACAGUCAGCACAGGUUAGCGAUUUCCAGUUCAAACCUUUGCUUUCAGUUGCUUGUAUGUUUUUCAUAAUGUAACCAUCAGAACUGAAAUUUUCCAUGAUGAUUGUGCGGCUAAUAAUAAAACUCCCACAAGUUCUUGACAAUGAUGGUAGAAGAAAUAACUGUACAAUUACCAAAUUGCCAGGUACCUUUUGCUGCCCUAAGAGUGUCCAUAGAAAUGUAGCCAAGUUGCAAGACUGUGGGAAACAUUCAUAUGCAGCCAAUGUGGGCUGAUAAACAAGUCUCAGAUGUUCUGUUGGGACUAAACAUGCUCUAAGCUAAAGUGAAUAUGCUCGGGAGUAAGCUAAAGUUCAGCUCGGGAGUAGAGAUGACUGUGGAUGCAAUGCUCAUGGAAGGAAAAGAUGGCUGUUUCCCUACUAAUACCCAAACAGUACACCAGGGUGGAGUGACCAAAUAUCUGUGCAGAACUGGGAGAAACUGAAAGGGGAGCAGGGAACAGUUAAAGACUGGGAAGGUCAUGGGAAAAGCAGCCAGAAGUGGAAGAAUGCAAAGAUUUCAGAAUGUCAUAGAAUAUACAAAAAAAAAUCCACAUAUAUUCUAACAAAAUUCUGUGGCCCAAUGUGUUUCAUUCUCUUCCUCUAACUUAUCUAUCAGAGAUAAUGAUCUAUGAAUGUGCUGCCAGUAACGUGUCAUCUCAAAAGGAAGUCUUGACACUGCGUUCAAAGGUGUCAGACUCUAUGACCUUCUAAAGUCUCUAAGUGAGAAUCAGCCCAAGCUUUUCUAUGGGGGUAAAAACAGACAAGCCCAGAAAGAGAUUAUUAAAGAUUGUGUCACAAACCACCCAAGAGGAAAAAUUUAAAGUUGUACCAGCAACCCAGACCUGUGUAUUUUCUAACAUUUGACUACCUGACUAUGCAACUUCAUUCUUCUUUGAAUUUUCUUUUGGAUCAUUUCCAAAAGAAAGAUACAAAAUUUCUUUUGGAUCGUCACGUAAUUUGGCAGCUGUUUGUUGAGAAAUGCUCAUCAAAAUUCAGUACUUCCACUAAUAUUCAAUAAAUGCAGUUUAUUCAAUAAGCUAACACUCAAAAAACAUAGUAUCAAGGUUAUUGCAUUGGACAGAAGUUGCCCAGUCUCCUUUCACUUUGCUGUUCCCAUUCUUUAAAGAAUUUGGUAGAGAUGUCACUCAUCACAAUGAAAUUAAUGUAUUUUCAUCUUCAUUUGAUAUACCAAUCUACAAAAUGCCUUCUAGAAAGGCUGGGUGACAAGCACCAUCUCUCAAGCCAUAAGGCCAUAAUACCUAGGAAAGAAAACCUGCAACCGACAUUUCUCCUCUGGAGACAUAUUUUAAAUGUGUCACCUAAAGCCCUAGAAAUUUAUUGGCUGAGAACUAUGUUGAGAAUUGGCAGGAACAAUAAAUUUAGCGCCAGAUUCAUGACACUUAUCCCACCAUAGUUUUCCCUUAUAGAUACUGGAGUAAAGGAUUUCUCUCACAUGCCCUUCGGUACAUUCAUCACAGUGCCUUUAGGAAUGUGCCUUAAUGAAUAAUUACAUUCCAACAUGGACAGCAGAGCGUAUUUACUUAAGGAGCUUUGUAACUUUACUUUUAUGUCACCUGAAUGACAGUUCCAGAAAGGAGGGAACAGAAUGAAAUAAUAUGACUUGCAUGCCACCUCUUGAGACUGUCACUGCUUUGUAUCAAACACUCUCAGGAGCAGGUUUGAUGUUGGGAUUUACUCUGGAAUUCACUUGGGUUAAAGAACCUAAGCUCUGAAUCUUAUGUUGUAAUGCAGUGUGAUGCAUAGAUAUUAUAAUGAGCAAAAUAGUGAAUUAAUUAAUAAUUCUAUCAGAUGUUUCUUCCUGGAUAGUUUGGCAUUGACAGGAGUUUAACAGAAUCCACACUGAGCUACUGGAAUGUCCUCCCAACUCUGUUGAAAUUAGGAUAAAAACUCUUAGUGAUUUUCCCACGAUGUUAGAUCUCAAACUUGUUUUACAUCAUUGUUCUCUAUUCUCAUGGCCAACAUCAUCAACCUCUUGUUGACUCAGAUCUACAAAAUGGGCCUUAUCCUCAGAUUUCUCCACCUCUUUUACCUCAGUUGCUUCCAAAUCUUUCUUUGUAUUUAUCUAUGAUAUUUUUUCUUCUCCAUGAGACUGGAAUAGGCUGCCCAGGGAGGUGGUGGAGUCACAGACCCCGGAGGUGUUCAAGGAAUGUUUGGAUUUUGUGUUGAGGGACAUGGUUUAGCGACUACUAUUGGUGAUGGGUGGACAGUUGGAUUGGAUGAUCUUGAAGGUUUUUUCCAGCCUUGGUGAUUCUGUGAUUCUGUGUUCUUUUUUGUCUUCUCCUGCACUCGUUCCCUCUCUCUCCAAUCCACGCAAAGCAGUGCUCCGCUCUAUCUGUGUUCUACACCCUGGUUUUACUGGAUCAAGUAUCCUACUGCUUCUUUCUCACCUUCUCACCCUUGUUCCCCCAAGACCUGCUGCCUCAUCCCUCCAGGAUGGUACUAGUGCUCCAGGGGGUUUAGGAUUAAGGACUACAAAAUGACUGGGGCUGUAAGUAGUCCUCAGAGGCUGUGUGACUGGUGAUGCUGAAAGCAGAGACCAUGAGAGUCAUCUUCAGUGAUGGAUGCCAAGGUGGGAAUGGACAUAGGGAAAGUCUUGGGCGAGUUUGUGUGGAUGACACUGCACCUGGUGGAUUGCAGGGGAAGGAAGCCGUCACUGGCCAGGCAGAAAAUGUGGCUAGUUAUUUUUUCUCACUUCCUGAUUCCCAAUGAAGAAGGACUUGGCUCCUUAGGCAGCCACUCCUUUCCUCUCUGGGGAAUGAAGGGAAGCUGGAAGGGAGAGAUUGAAGCUGCUGAUCAUACCACCACACUUGGUCUGAAACAUCAUCACUUAAGUCUUCUGGUGUACUCCAAAAGAUCAGCACACCGCCCUGAGCAGCACAAGAACUGCUUCCAGCUGGCUCUCAUGAGAACUCCUGAAAAGCACAUUUCUUCACACAUUCCACAUCUCCACUGCCUCCAGAUCAUGUUUCUUGCAGCGGCCUGCAAGGCUGCCCCUUCCUACUUACAUCUUGUCAUGUGGCAGCCACAUGUUGAUUGUCUCCCUGCUAGCCAUGCCAAAGCUAAUAUCCUGCUCACCUAUUUGUUUCUCAGAGAUCUCCAGCCUGUGCUCCCUGCUUGUGACAUGUCCUUCUUAUGCUGCUUCUCAAGAACCACAACCUCAGUCUUUUGAAUUCCUUUCCACAAACUCCAUCCUGCUCGGACACUCAGGACGACUGAUUCAGUUUACCACAUUUCUAAUGAGGGAGGGUUAGUGUAGCAUAGUGUAAAGAACCUGAAACUGGAAUGGCAUAUAGGAUGAGAAGAAAAGUUCAUGGGUAAGAAUGCUUAAUGACAAUUAAGAUUCUAGCUUGUAAUUGAGAUGACUUUGCCCAGCAUAUCAGCAAUCCCUUUGUUGUAUAAUGUAUCCCUUUCCCCAUGGUCUGACUUUGUUUUCCUCAACGCUGCCCUCUUCAAAGAAGGCACAGUUUUCUUCUUCUGAGUUUGGAAAGUUAUGUGUUUAUAAAUAAUAAAUAGAAUAAUAAUAAAUCAGGGCUACUGCACUUGCUAGCAAACAGCCAAUAUGCACUAGGUCUCUUUGAAGUCAAAGGGGCUGUUUCUGCUGCUCUUUAUGCCACUUUCUCUACUUUGGAUACAAUGAAGUUGCUCCUGUUUCAUAUACUGAGAAAUGACUUGCUAAAAUGUGAAAUUUCAAUAAGCUACAAACACAAUAGAAAUACUACUAAAAGACAAAUACAAAUCCUAACAGAAUUAUGGAGAAAAUAUUAUCAGAUAAGAAAUUCACCCGUUUCUUGAGAAGUGACACUAUUUAUCUCUAAUUGCAACAUAAUGACUUGGUAAGGAAAUGGCAUGCUUCUGUAAACUUGUUUGUUUUCUUCUUUAGCUUUCACUUUUGUUUAUGUGGAUGCUAUCUUAUUGAACAGAAAUACCAGUUCAAACCUCACCACUGUAGUUCAGAGAACUACAGUGUUUCAGAAUAAACAGAAAAAUGAUACCCAUCUUCACUGAGUAGCAGCAAGGGGCUUAGUAUAUUGCUGGAAGACAAGCAUAAAAUAUUUAGACUGGUUAGUAUUAAGAAAGUCAAAGAGAAUAUUAUGAGAUGAAGCAGCCAAACAGAAUUGGCAAUGAUAGUCUUAUAAUGGAAAGGUAUUUAUAGAGUGUUGUUCCCAUUGGACAGGAUGCUGCUGUCUUACUCAAGCAAAUCCCCCACUGAAAAUUUCAAAGGGCAUAUUGCCUGCCUAGAGAUGAGAAGGGACUUGGGGAGCAAAAACGAUACAAAAAACUUCUGUCCAUUCAAGGCAUGCCUGGUAAUAAUGCCAUAUUAAAUGAUCGUAUUACAUGGUGGUGCAACUACAGUUCUCUGACUUCUGGGCUCUGUGUGCUUGCCAUAUGGGGCAGAGCUGGCUCUACAAAUGUUAAAGUCAGUCUCCGUUGCCAUGUCUGUGCCCACAGAGAAGAAAAAGCUCAAACAUUGACUUUUUGAUAUCCAGUGAUCGACAGAGAAUUUCUGAAGCAUGGCUAGCAGUGGAAAGGCAAGAACUGGUACAUGUGGUUAGGCAUCAGAGUCCUUUAGUUUAAAUGUGAUGCCCUGACUGCCCCAGUUUAAACAGAGAGCUUAGGUCUCUGAAGGUCUAGCUCUGGACUUAAGUGACAUUUUGGAUCCUGAUAACAGGAGAAAAUCCACUGUGCUAUACAUUGCUGGGUCUCAGGCAGCAAUGGUAUGAAAUGGCAGUGGGCUGUAAUGUGUUUUCCCAUGCAAUAUUCUUCUCUGCCAACUGCCAGACUACCAGAAUAGCUUUUACUUCCCACUGGUAGCUUAAGGAGCUCACCAUACAUUUGACUACGGCAUCCAGCAUAGAAGAAUUCAAAUAUAGAGAGAUUACCUGGGUAACAGUAAUGUCCAUAUAACAUUAACAAGAAAUGGGAAGAAUCGAGAUUUAGGGCAGUAAUAUGAACCAGUAACAGCAAGUUACUCUAUAAUUGAAAACCAUGAGCUUUUUUUUAUGUCUAGUACUGGCUGUAGACUUGGUGCAAACUGUUUGUUUGCUUCAACAGUGGGAUUCUCAGUGAACAGGCAAAAGAUAUUUCCAUUUUGUGUUCAGUUCACAAAGUUAAUAAAGUGACAGAAGUGACAGUUGGUACACGAAUUAAAGCGAGGACUUCACUCCUCAGUAAAUAUGUUGUUUAGAGUAAUAAUCAUUUAAUAAUAACUGGCUUUGUAACAAAGGCCACUAGGCCAAAUGCUCUUGGUGUGACUUUGCUGGCAGCGAUACAAGGAACGAUUCAGCCAGGGUGUACCCAGUCCUCUGUGGCAAAAGGCAACAAAAAGAGGCAUACUCACACAAGCUUACCGAGUGUUCUGCUCAUUUACAGGCUAUUAAUGAAAAACUAGAGAAUUACAUUUCUAUUAAACAUUACUCAAUCCAUAUAAAGAGAUAAAUAAAUGUACAAUGGCAUUCAGAGAAACGUAAACAGAUAAUGCUGGUAUAAACCUUCAGACAUCAAGAGUGUUACAUACACAUUCCUUGAUGCCACUGCAUAUGAACUCAUUCUAUCUCUGACACACACACAUGAUAAUGAAGCUAUUGGUUCCUACUGAUCCUGAGAAUCCCUGAAGGGCUGGGCAGAGGUCCAAAGAGCUGUAUCAUAGCAGGUCAUUCUGCCACAUAUUUGUCUUUUUGACACUAACAUUUGCCAGGAAAUCCAUCAUUGUCCAUGCAGCACCAACAUGUGAUAUGGUAAUAAAAAUGUUUAUGUGCAGUCUCUGUCAGAGUUUUGCAAAGGAAGCAUUAGAGGGAACAUAGGUAGUGCUGCACCCUCUUUUUUUUUUUUUUUUAACUCCCUUGCUUUUUUGGCCAAAGCUAUGACACCCUUUGAUCCACAGUGCCUUUCUUCUGACAGCAACCACUCUAAAUACUUUCUUCCUUUCACUUCUUACUGAAGUGUCCCACAAGCUCCUUUAUUUGAAGGUUGUACUUCAAGCACCUAAACAUAAGGCUUAGAAAGCCUAAAUGCUUGUCUCCAGAUUCAUGGGAUGUAGUCCAUUGCCAGUCACUUCAAAGGCAGCUGCCCCACUACACAGCAUGCUCAGCUCCAAUCUGCCACUGAACGGGCAGGAGUAGGGAGCUGCUGCUCCAGUAAGGAGCAGAAGCCAGGUCAGGAUAUGUACAGUUGUUAUUACUGUAAUCGAUUGCAAUGUGGGUUAUGCUAUGAUGCUCCUGGGGCCUGGAGCUUUAUUGCAGCUAUCUGUACACUGACUGAAUCACUCUGAUGUCCUACAAAAAAACUCCAAAACAUAAAUGGCUGAACAAAAUUAAUGUAGUAGAGACACCUCUAUAAUGACAAAUUCUACAGACAAACUCUUACCUGAAAGUACUAAAGAUGAUGUGUCUUGAUGUUGCCAUACAUCUGAAUAUGCCUAUGCAGCAUCAGAGCUGAAUCUCCUCUGAAUUCAGUGGCGUUUUCCCUUUCUGGGCUAACAGCUCUGCUGGGGAUGGAUUUGCUUUCAAAAUGCUAAUUUAUUCCAUCUUUAAAGCUGAUUCAUCCCAAGGCUGGGAUUUUGUUUUUUGGUUAGUCGGAAUUCUUCAACUAGGAGGAAGCGUCAAUAUGGUGACAAAGCUAGUUUCACUUCUAAACUGUUAAACCUAUAGAAACCAGUUCCAUAUAAUUGCAUAUAUAUAUAUAGGUGCUCCUGACACGUGGCUCCAGCUAUUUAGAUAGAAUGCUUUUUUAUCUAUGUUUUGGUUUUGACUAAAGUCAGGGAGGCCCAGUCAGGGGCUCCUGCACCAUAUGAAAGGAUUCCACAAGGCUGCUUUAGUGUGAAAGUAAAACCAGAUGACACCACAGAAAAAGGGCCACUUGCUUGCCAAAACUGCUACAAUUUCAAAAUUAAUCUACACACAUUUUCUUUUUUUCUUUUUUUUUUGUCAUUAUUUAUAACAUAAAAAUGCUUUUAAAUUGGCCUUUAUAGCAGGCUUUCCAAACAACUUUUUCUUCCCAUUGGAUUUCUAAUCAUAUAAUUUCUAAUAUGAAAGGAAAAUAAUGUAUUUCUCUAAAAUUAGCUUGUUUUCAGAAAUACAGUAGGUUUCCUACUUUCCUUACAAUGCAGAUACUGUGCACGACAGGUACAAACACUAAUCAAAACAACCCACAUUCUAAAGCAUUCCACAGGUGACAUUUCCCUUUUAGCUGUAACCUCAAUUUUUUAAUCAAAUUUGAGUGCAAGUAACCUUUUGUCCAGUGCUUGAUCCUCUAUAAAAUAAUUGAGUCAAAAAGCAGCUUCGUACAUGCUGUCCUGGGCUGGCCAUGUAUUCCUUUAUGAACAUUACUUGUGCUCCUUGUUUUUAUCUAAAAUUGUUAAAAAUAUUUCCAGUUUGCAUCACUAGAGAUUUUAGAAUGUUGGAUGUUUUAGAAUGUAUGAUGACCCAGAAGCCAAGCACUCAAAAUACACCUUACUUGAAUUCACGUUUCUCCUUCUACACUAAAAUGGCCAUCAGAGUGCUUAGAUGAUGCAGAUUGCUCACAGGGAAAAACAAUGCAAAGCCAAGUUCAUAGGCAGUGUUUGGAUAUACUUUGGGGGAAUGUAUUUCUGUUUACUCUGCAGGCCUAUCACCCAGGUCAGCAGAGCCUAAUUUGUGACCAGUGCCUAGCAAAAGCUAUGCACAUACAGGUUAUGUACAUACAUUACACUCUGCACCUGUAGAAGUGAGCAGCGAAUUUCACAAUGUUAGCUUCAUUUAUGAUUAGCAGUAAAUAACAUAAUGUGUACUUGAGUAAUAUAUUUCUCAUGGCAUGUCAGGGAGGCUAAUCUGAAUAGAUGUGGCUAUAUAUUUAAAAUCAUACAUUCUGUAUAUUUUAACUAUUCCAAGACCAUUAAUUCUAUUUACCACAAAAACAAUGCUUUUGUUGUAGACCAAAAAAGAGUCAUACAAUUUGUCAGGGAGAAGUUACCAGAGGAUUCUCCGCCUCUUAAACAUCACUAAAACAGGGAGGUCAGUGAGUCCUUUCCAUAAGAAAGACAUAAUGGCUGCAAGGCUGAUGGUUUCUUCAAAAAAUUCUAGUGUCAAGCAGCCCAGGAGUUCUUAAGACAUAUCUAGGAUACAAUGUGAAAAGUGUUUAGUUAGAGGAAAAGAGACAGGCCCAAAUAAGAUUAUGUGGAACACAAAAAUUCACUGGGAAAGAAUUUUGAACAAGCAGUUGCAUAUAAAGGCUGGGCUUUGGGGCUGGGUGUGGGAUAAAAAAGCUUCAGGCCAAGAUCAUCUGAUUUCUUCUUUAAUCAGAGAGUCUGUGACUACAUAUUCUGUCAAAUAAAGAGAUGUGUGAACUAAACAUGUCUUCACAUCCAAGCGCGCAGCACUGGCUAACGGGGUCAACAGAAGCAACAAUGUGUUUGUAUGAAAAUUAACUGGAAGAAACACCAGCAGACAGAGCCAUAAAAUGCUGCAAAACCAGGAGUUCCGAAUUGCUCUUUAGUCUGAGGGUAAACCAAGGAAGUUUUGGCAAAUUCUUCUAAGGAAAAAGGGAAUUCCACCAGGAAGCUUAUACUAAAAGUUAAUUUCUCAUCCCCUUCAAGAAGUCUGUCAGCCUGUCACUCACAGAAACCUUUACUACCUUUCCUUGUACACAUGGCCACCAGCUAUAUUCUGCUUAAUUGUAAGCAAAGAAGACUGUGGUUAUGAAUGGUUAGGGAAACAGCUUUAAAGGGAUGCCAUCCAGAGGGACCUGGACACGCUUGAGAAGUGAACCCACACAAACUGAAUGAGGUUCAUCUAAGCCUCCUUUAAGGUAUUGCUGGGGCAAUGCUGGGUAUGCAUGCAGACUGGGAAAAGACUUCCAGAGAGCAGCUCUGCAGAGAAGGACUGGGGGUCCUGGUGAAUGGAAAGCUGGACGAGAGCCAGCAGCAUGUGCCUGCAGCACAGCAGGCCAACAGCGUCCCAGGCUGCAUCAACUGGUGCUGGAGCACCUCUACUAUGAAGAGAGGCUGAGGGAGUUGGGCUUGUUCAACGUGGAGGACAGAAGGCUCCUGGGGAGAGCUCACUGCAGAAUUCCAGUAUUUGAAGAGGUCCUUUAAGCAGGAGGUGGACCAACUGCUGGAGGAGUUUUUUUUUGGUUAAUUUUUUUUAAUUUUUUUGAUUUUAUUGUCAAGAAACAAACUUGAGACUCAAAAGCACUGCCACUAUUAAUAAAGUAGAAUAUUAGUGAGGAAGAUUCUGCAAGACAUACUGGCAUAAGGAUGGUGGCUUCAACAUUUCACCGGUCAUUUAUUGGUGUAGUUAAUGACUCUGAAGCUACUUAGCACAUGGUGGGUGAUGCUAAGCAUGGUAUACUUGCCAGAACAGCUUGUUCAGCUGGGCUCUUCUCCCUGGGUGCCCUGCCUUAGCCAAACAUAUUCCCUGCACAUUGACCCAUGCCAUGGACAUGCUGCUGCUUGCCAAGACACUGCUGGGUCAGAUGGAUUGCUUUUGCCCAGAGGUAUUCUGAAAGUGCUGCCAUUGUUGUAUUGGUGCACAGAUACAAGUUAGAUCUUCUAUUUUAUUUUAAACAAGCCAUUCAGCUAACACAGAAAAGACAAGAGGGAAAAGCCAGAUGGAGAACAUUUAUGCUACCAUUAAUGGAGCCCUUCCCCGACCUCUGACCUUCCUCACUAGGAGGAUUUUCCAUGUUUUGCUCUAAUUAUUAAGAGAUAUAUUUCCCUGAAGUACUGAACAGUUUCCAGCAGAGGUCUCUGCCUACUAAUAAUUAAAGUUUGGCUGGACUGCUUACACACAGCAGGGGUCAAAAAUUGCUCUAAAUCACUGGUAGGCUUUGUCCCUUUACAGGAUUGAGAAACAAAACUGAGGCCUCAUGCAUGCGAGAGCCCACCUUCAAAUCAUCAUCUAUUUCACAGAGUGGUAAUGCCUAUCUGUUACAUAGAUGGAGAUUCUCAUGAAAGCUUUUCUUAUGUAAGAUAUUUGAAAUAAGUCUGCUGAGGCUUGCAUAGCAGAUGUAGCCUAUCUAUCUUAACCAACGGGUUUCAAAGAUUUAAGAAUUAAGAGACAGAGUACAUCAGAGAAUUAUUAAACUGUAAACAUCACAAUUCUUCUGGAUGCAAAACAGACGAAUUCAAGGGAAGAAAAGCUUUUUUUCCUCAGAGUAUCCUGUGAUCCCUAACUUGAGAUCUGACUACAAUCAAGAGCAACUGCUCCAAGAGAUAUUUAGCUUUUAGGCUAUAAUCUCUUUGCUUCUCAUCUGUCUCUAACGCAAACUUACUUUCUGGUUAUGAGAAAAUGAUCUAUUUUUAUGCCUACAUUUCCCUGUCUUUAAUUUUAUUUACUAAUCUACUUCACUGACUGGGAUGCACACAUAGAACACAAGGGAUGAAAAAUAAGGAUUAAACUUUUCCACCUCUAGGUCUGUUCUCUAAUUGCUCUGUGCAGGAUCCUAAUUUACCAAGAAACUUUAAGAAGUCCCAAACAGAGGCUCUUUUGAAGCUCAAACAGUAUCACUGGGGUGGGGCAAGUUCCCAUCCCUCACCUCAGGAAAGAACUUAACCCUGAUCUGUGCCAAGCCAUUUGCUGGUAUGUACAUUUUGCUAUGGCAGAGAAGAGUGUGAUGCGAGUGUCUCGAGGCAGAAUCAUCAUGCUUCCCUAAGCUAGCAGUACAAUUGCAAUCCUUUCCUGCAUGUUAACAUGACAAUAAUUGUGUUACAGCAACAAGACACAGCUAAUGGUUGUUCAUCUUGAAACCUUCUAUUCUGGUGUUGUCUUUGAACUAUAUUAAAGAUGUUUUUUUCCUUCACGUCCAGCUUUCCAAAAAUCAUGGUUCCAUAUUUCAGACUAAAAUAAGGCCACUGGCCAGUCCAGCACAUCUAUGGUAUCACCAGCAGCUUUUGUAAAGAGAAGACCACUGGGCAAACGCUACUGGAGCAUUCCCAAGGUCUGACCCUACCAAUCUCACUAGGUUUUGUAGGGAAUGCACAAGGAACUACAAGCCAGUUUCUUAGUAAAUAUCACUCAUACUGCAAAAUCUAGCAUUGCUGCAUGACAGCUCUAGAUAUGUAUGCACAUAUUCUCUAACAUUCACUUUGUUCCCACAAAACAUAUGUGCCCAGCACAAACUGGGACAUUCUAGACAGUACUGGAAGCUUCACAGAUAGCACUGAGAGCAACACCAA